This 883-nucleotide long non-coding RNA is filed under the name Mus caroli (Ryukyu mouse). Its description in RNAcentral is "RIKEN cDNA 4930599N23 gene (MGP_CAROLIEiJ_G0003843.1)". The record is from RNAcentral. Lineage: Eukaryota; Metazoa; Chordata; Mammalia; Rodentia; Muridae.
GAGACCUGGCCGCUCCCUUCGAGGCAGCAGCGCCCUGUGAGGUGAGUGGCGCGUUCAGCUAGGCCCGAGGGACGCCGCGGGGGGCUCAGUCAGCAACCUCGAUCUCGGAGAAGCCGAGCGAAGUUUCCAGACGGCGCCAGCCGGUUGCGGCCGGUUGGUGCGUCGGCCGGCCGCCGCGGCGCGCUCAGAGGUCGCCCGAGCCAAAGCGGGCUUUAGCAGGCGGGUCUCGGAAGCGGGGACGACGGACCCGGUCCCACCGCACCCCGGAACAAACGGAAACAGUCGCUCGGAAUUGCCAGACCGGCCUAAAUGGUACUGGAGACUCCGCUUUUGUAGCGGAUCCCGCAUUUCCAGAAGGAAAGCGUAGAAGUCAAAACAACACUGCAAACCUCCUGGAGAAGACACCUUCCCGGACAGACAAAACUGAACUUGAGGUUCCUCACAGUACUUGCUACUUCUGAGCACUCCCGAUACAAUUGCCUAAACUCAGGGUUACUGCCGUGGCAAAUACUGGGAUCCUGGAGAGAGUUCUUCUCACCACUGCAAUCUGUGCUUUGUAUCUGCCUUUGUAAACACGAGGAAUAGUGCAACCCUGCCAUGGACAGCAUGCCCUGAAUAGCUUCUUCCUCUGUGCUCGUCGAGAAAGGAAAAAAAAGGCAACUUUCAAACCUCAAGCGCAUUUAUGGACCGACCAUGGUUUCAAGCAGUUAUUACCUGGGCUCUUAUUGGCCUUUCUCUUCUGCAAGCACCACUGCAUAGCAACUCUUCUAUCAGCUCGCAGUGAUGCACUGCCUUGCCCUGACAUAAUAACUACGAAUUACAGAGGACCAGAUUUACUGGGAAUUAGUGGAAACUAAGAAAUUAAAAAUGAAUUCGAUAAUAU